Molecule: signal recognition particle RNA, 87 nt
Filed under: bovine gut metagenome
Description: Bacterial small signal recognition particle RNA
Rfam family: Bacterial small signal recognition particle RNA
About the family: The signal recognition particle (SRP) is a universally conserved ribonucleoprotein involved in the co-translational targeting of proteins to membranes. Archaeal SRP consists of a 7S RNA and homologues of the eukaryotic SRP19 and SRP54 proteins. In most bacteria, the SRP consists of a 4.5S RNA and the Ffh protein (a homologue of the eukaryotic SRP54 protein).
Source: RNAcentral
UGGAACCCAUGCGACGGGUCCCUCCAAAACCCCGCCAGGGCCGGAAGGCAGCAACGGUAUGGACGGGAAACGGGCGCCGUGGGGUCU